ACGGGUGAGUAACACGUGGAUAACCUACCUAUAAGACUGGGAUAACUUCGGGAAACCGGAGCUAAUACCGGAUAAUAUUUUGAACCGCAUGGUUCAAAAGUGAAAGACGGUCUUGCUGUCACUUAUAGAUGGAUCCGCGCUGCAUUAGCUAGUCGGUAAGGUAACGGCUUACCAAGGCAACGAUGCAUAGCCGACCUGAGAGGGUGAUCGGCCACACUGGAACUGAUACACGGUCCAG
RNAcentral lists this ribosomal RNA (238 nucleotides) under uncultured Staphylococcus sp. Its description in RNAcentral is "partial 16S ribosomal RNA". It matches the Rfam family "Bacterial small subunit ribosomal RNA", at positions 102 to 334 of the family's 1533-position model. The record is from RNAcentral. Lineage: Bacteria; Bacillati; Bacillota; Bacilli; Caryophanales; Staphylococcaceae.